AGGAAAGGGAGGGAUUCGC
Molecule: transfer RNA, 19 nt
Filed under: Elaphoglossum squamipes
Lineage: Eukaryota; Viridiplantae; Streptophyta; Polypodiopsida; Polypodiales; Dryopteridaceae
Description: partial tRNA-Ser
Source: RNAcentral